GUAACUGCGAAUGGCUCAUUAUAUAAGUUAUCGUUUAUUUGAUAGUACCUUACUACUUGGAUAACCGUGGUAAUUCUAGAGCUAAUACAUGCUAAAAAUCCCGACUUCGGAAGGGAUGUAUUUAUUAGAUUAAAAACCAAUGCCCUCUGGGCUCUCUGGUGAUUCAUGAUAACUUCUCGAAUCGCAUGGCCUUGUGCCGGCGAUGGUUCAUUCAAAUUUCUUCCCUAUCAACUUUCGAUGUUUGGGUAGUGGCCAAACAUGGUUGCAACGGGUAACGGAGGGUUAGGGCUCGACCCCGGAGAAGGAGCCUGAGAAACGGCUACUACAUCCAAGGAAGGCAGCAGGCGCGCAAAUUACCCAAUCCCGAUUCGGGGAGGUAGUGACAAUAAAUACCGAUACAGGGCUCUUUUGGGUCUUGUAAUUGGAAUGAGUACAAUUUAAAUCCCUUAACGAGGAACAAUUGGAGGGCAAGUCUGGUGCCAGCAGCCGCGGUAAUUCCAGCUCCAAUAGCGUAUAUUAAAGUUGUUGUGGUUAAAAAGCUCGUAGUUGAACCUUGGGCCUGGCUGGCCGGUCCGCCUCACCGCGUGUACUGGUCCGGCCGGGCCUUUCCCUCUGUGGAACCCCAUGCCCUUCACUGGGCGUGGCGGGGAAACAGGACUUUUACUUUGAAAAAAUUAGAGUGCUCCAGGCAGGCCUAUGCUCGAAUACAUUAGCAUGGAAUAAUGAAAUAGGACGUGCGGUUCUAUUUUGUUGGUUUCUAGGACCGCCGUAAUGAUUAAUAGGGACAGUCGGGGGCAUCAGUAUUCAAUUGUCAGAGGUGAAAUUCUUGGAUUUAUUGAAGACUAACUACUGCGAAAGCAUUUGCCAAGGAUGUUUUCAUUAAUCAGGAACGAAAGUUAGGGGAUCGAAGACGAUCAGAUACCGUCGUAGUCUUAACCAUAAACUAUGCCGACUAGGGAUCGGACGAUGUUA
This 972-nucleotide ribosomal RNA is filed under the name Sungia yongmunensis. RNAcentral's name for it is "SSU rRNA". It matches the Rfam family "Eukaryotic small subunit ribosomal RNA", at positions 83 to 1065 of the family's 1831-position model. The record is from RNAcentral. Lineage: Eukaryota; Fungi; Ascomycota; Sordariomycetes; Hypocreales; Clavicipitaceae.